Ciona intestinalis (vase tunicate) is the source of this 611-nucleotide non-coding RNA. The record is from RefSeq and is a predicted model, not a curated record. Lineage: Eukaryota; Metazoa; Chordata; Ascidiacea; Phlebobranchia; Cionidae.
AAAAGAGAAAACAAAAUGAAAAGGUGUCCCAUCUACCCCCACCCUGCUAUAUUAUAUUAACCCUUUUACUACACUGUCGACUGGGCUCGAUCAAAAACAAAUCUGAAGUAACCAACAAAACGGGUUCUAGUCGCCAUUGGUGACUGUAGAGCAGUAGGCUCCUGUAGAGCAGUAUAGCUCCUGUACCAUGUGUUUAUUGUAAACUUACACUAGUUAACGUUGUUGUCGGUUAAAAACAUUUGUUUUUAUGAAUUAAGACAAACCCUAAACACGCAGCAGCCUAAUUAUGAAAUGUUAAAAGUUAAUAUUAAUCAUAUAAUGCUUAAUUAAAAAUAAUGUUCCAAUUACGAUAAAUGAUAAUAAGGUAUAAGAGCAGUGUUUUUGAUGCGUUCCCACUUAAAUGGAAAUAGUUUGAUUCAGGCGUGAAUCAAAGUGAGGAUUCCUUAUCUCACCAACACGUGCGGCCCAGGCAGACAGUAUAACCGCUGUCUGGACAAUCUGGUUACUGGAUCUACUGGCCUAACGGUUAUGGCACCCGCUAUUAUAGCCUAAUAUCCCGGGUUCGAACCUUGCCUGUCGUAACAAUUAUUUUGGAUUUAUUUCCUUUUUAU